UCCUUCGUGGCGCAAUUGGCUAGCGCGUCAGACUGUUAAUCUGGAGGCUGUAAGUUCGAUCCUUACCGAGGGAG
This 74-nucleotide transfer RNA is filed under the name Sordaria macrospora k-hell. It matches the Rfam family "tRNA". From Rfam's summary of the family: Transfer RNA (tRNA) molecules are approximately 80 nucleotides in length. Their secondary structure includes four short double-helical elements and three loops (D, anti-codon, and T loops). Further hydrogen bonds mediate the characteristic L-shaped molecular structure. tRNAs have two regions of fundamental functional importance: the anti-codon, which is responsible for specific mRNA codon recognition, and the 3' end, to which the tRNAs corresponding amino acid is attached (by aminoacyl-tRNA synthetases). tRNAs cope with the degeneracy of the genetic code in two manners: having more than one tRNA (with a specific anti-codon) for a particular amino acid; and 'wobble' base-pairing, i.e. permitting non-standard base-pairing at the 3rd anti-codon position. Lineage: Eukaryota; Fungi; Ascomycota; Sordariomycetes; Sordariales; Sordariaceae. The record is from Rfam by way of RNAcentral.